Molecule: long non-coding RNA, 691 nt
Organism: Ananas comosus (pineapple)
Lineage: Eukaryota; Viridiplantae; Streptophyta; Magnoliopsida; Poales; Bromeliaceae
Exons: 6
Source: RefSeq, a predicted model, not a curated record
AAUGGGUCGCAAAUGGGCAGUUGAGAAUCAGGUUGGAGAAAAGAACUUGGUUAUUGAUGAUUGUGAUGCAAAACAAUCUGUUUAUGUUUAUGGAUGCAAAAAUAGUGUAUUGCAAGUCAAGGGAAAGGUGAACAACAUAACCAUAGAUAAAUGCACUAAAAUGGGGAUCCUCUUUAAGUGUGGUGUGAUCUUUUAACUCAGGAUAUAGUUGCAGCUUGUGAAAUUGUGAACUGCAACAGUGUUGAGGUGCAAUGUGAGGGCUCAGCGCCGACAAUAUUAAUAGACAAUACAUCAGGUUGCCAACUUUAUCUGGGCAAAGAUUCAUUGGAGACUUCUAUAACAAUUGCUAAAUCAAGUGAGGUUAAUGUUCUGGUUUCUGGUGCAGGCCCUGAUGGUGACUGGGCUGAGCAUCCGCUGCCGCAACAGUUUGUUCAUACUUUCAGAGAUGGACAAUUCACAACUUCACCGGUUUCCCAUUCCGGCGGGUAAUCGAUUUCACUACACACCUCGAUUCCUGCAACAUUUCGUCGGCCUUUUUAGAAAAUCAGUGCACGCUAGCUAAUGAACAUUUUCGAGUUUUUCUGUUUAGGUUGAUGUAUUGUUUGAUAAAGUAAUUGGCAUGUUUCAAUAGUAUAUGGUGUAAUUUGCUUGAUCUAUCACUUUUAAGGCAUGUUAAAUUCUCGGCAAAGAA